RNAcentral lists this long non-coding RNA (572 nucleotides) under Homo sapiens (human). Its description in RNAcentral is "HSALNT0344703". The record is from RNAcentral. Lineage: Eukaryota; Metazoa; Chordata; Mammalia; Primates; Hominidae.
UCAUCACUGGCUUUUGAUGGAAACAACGAUAUAUGUGAUGACCCUUUCUGAUCCUUGCAGGACAGGAGGGAGUCCAGGUCAAGGCAUAAUACUCACAUACACAGCUGGGCUUGUUGCCAGACCACUGAUUGUUCUGCUGACAGGUGAUAACUCUCUCCCCCACCAGCUCAAAGGCCGCCGGGCAUUCAAAGGCUGGGAGCCAUCAUGGCUGACUCACUAUGAUCUCAGGCUCCUGGGCUCAAGUGAUCUUUCGACCUCAGCCCCUGGAGUGGCUGGGACAACAGACAGCAAAUUUAACCAAGGUAAAUUUCAGCACCUUGAUUCACGUAUAUUGACAUUGAGGUGAAGAACUAUGACCUGUUAGAAUAAAACUGAUCAAAGAUGACCACAAAAGAUUUUAGUGUCUACCAUCUCUAAAAGGAACAUCACUUUUCAAAUCAAUUAAUGGAAAAGGAAGCUGGAGACUGUCCACCUGCUCUUUCCCUCAAUUGCCUCCUCUCCUCCUUCAAUGUCAUCUUAAGUGACUUCUCCUUAUUAAACACCAGGACAGAUGAAGAUACAAGGCAAUAUAA